CGGUAGCUAAAUGCGGAAAAGAUAAGUGCUGAAAGCAUCUAAGCACGAAACUUGCCCCGAGAUGAGUCUUCCCUGAGACUUUGAGUCUCCUGAAGGAACGUUAAAGACGAUGACGUUGAUAGGCCGGGUGUGUAAGCGCAGCGAUGCGUUGAGCUAACCGGUACUAAUGAACCGUGAGGCUUAACCUUACAACGCCGAAG
Molecule: ribosomal RNA, 200 nt
Filed under: Salmonella enterica
Lineage: Bacteria; Pseudomonadati; Pseudomonadota; Gammaproteobacteria; Enterobacterales; Enterobacteriaceae
Description: partial 23S ribosomal RNA
Rfam family: Bacterial large subunit ribosomal RNA
Source: RNAcentral